GAAUCUGCCCUCAGGAGGGGGAUAACGGUUGGAAACGACCGCUAAUACCCCAUAUGCCGAGAGGUGAAACGAAAUUCGCCUGAGGAUGAGCCCGCGUCUGAUUAGCUAGUUGGUGGGGUAAAGGCCUACCAAGGCAUCGAUCAGUAGCUGGUCUGAGAGGAUGAGCAGUCACACUGGAACUGAGAAACGGUCCAGACUCCUACGGGAGGCAGCAGUGGGGAAUUUUCCGCAAUGGGCGAAAGCCUGACGGAGCAAUACCGCGUGAGGGAGGAAGGUUCUUGGAUUGUAAACCUCUUUUCUAGGGGAAUAAAAAAAUGAAGGUACCCUAGGAAUAAGCAUCGGCUAACUCCGUGCCAGCAGCCGCGGUAAUACGGAGGAUGCAAGCGUUAUCCGGAAUUAUUGGGCGUAAAGAGUCCGUAGGUGGAAGUUCAAGUCUGCUGUCAAAGAAUGGAGCUUAACUCCAUAAAGGCAGUGGAAACUGAGCAACUAGAGUGAGGUAGGGGUAACGGGAAUUCCCAGUGUAGCGGUGAAAUGCGUAGAUAUUGGGAAGAACAUCGGUGGCGAAAGCGCGUUACUGGGCCUAAACUGACACUGAGGGACGAAAGCUAGGGUAGCG
This 616-nucleotide ribosomal RNA is filed under the name uncultured Synechococcus sp. Its description in RNAcentral is "bacterial SSU rRNA". It matches the Rfam family "Bacterial small subunit ribosomal RNA", at positions 122 to 770 of the family's 1533-position model. The record is from RNAcentral. Lineage: Bacteria; Bacillati; Cyanobacteriota; Cyanophyceae; Synechococcales; Synechococcaceae.